AUUGAACGCUCGCGGGAUGCUUUACACAUGCAAGUCGAACGGCAGCGCGGACUUCGGUCUGGCGGCGAGUGGCGAACGGGUGAGUAAUGUAUCGGAACGUGCCCAGUAGCGGGGGAUAACUACGCGAAAGCGUAGCUAAUACCGCAUACGCCCUACGGGGGAAAGCAGGGGAUCGUAAGACCUUGCACUAUUGGAGCGGCCGAUAUCGGAUUAGCUAGUUGGUGAGGUAACGGCUCACCAAGGCGACGAUCCGUAGCUGGUUUGAGAGGACGACCAGCCACACUGGGACUGAGACACGGCCCAGACUCCUACGGGAGGCAGCAGUGGGGAAUUUUGGACAAUGGGGGCAACCCUGAUCCAGCCAUCCCGCGUGUGCGAUGAAGGCCUUCGGGUUGUAAGCACUUUUGGCAGGAAAGAAACGUCGCGGGCUAAUACCCCGUGGAACUGACGGUACCUGCAGAAUAAGCACCGGCUAACUACGUG
Molecule: ribosomal RNA, 483 nt
Filed under: uncultured bacterium
Lineage: Bacteria
Description: partial 16S ribosomal RNA
Rfam family: Bacterial small subunit ribosomal RNA
Source: RNAcentral